UGAUCCUGGCUCAGGAUGAACGCUAGCGGCAGGCUUAACACAUGCAAGUCGAGGGGUAACAUUGUAGCUUGCUACAGAUGACGACCGGCGCACGGGUGCGUAACGCGUAUAGAACUUACCUUUUACAGAGGGAUAGCCUUUAGAAAUGAAGAUCAAUACCUCAUAGUAUUAUUGAUUGGCAUCAAUUAAUAAUUAAAGAUUUAUCGGUAAAAGAUGGCUAUGCGUCCUAUUAGCUAGAUGGUAAGGUAAUGGCUUACCAUGGCUACGAUAGGUAGGGGCCCUGAGAGGGGGAUCCCCCACACUGGUACUGAGACACGGACCAGACUCCUACGGGAGGCAGCAGUGAGGAAUAUUGGGCAAUGGAGGUAACUCUGACCCAGCCAUGCCGCGUGCAGGAAGACUGCCCUAUGGGUUGUAAACUGCUUUUAUACAGGAAGAAACACUCGUACGUGUACGAGCUUGACGGUACUGUAAGAAUAAGGACCGGCUAACUCCGUGCCAGCAGCCGCGGUAAUACGGAGGGUCCGAGCGUUAUCCGGAAUCAUUGGGUUUAAAGGGUCCGCAGGCGGUCAAUUAAGUCAGAGGUGAAAUCCCAUAGCUUAACUAUGGAACUGCCUUUGAUACUGGUUGACUUGAGUCAUAUGGAAGUAGAUAGAAUGUGUAGUGUAGCGGUGAAAUGCAUAGAUAUUACACAGAAUACCGAUUGCGAAGGCAGUCUACUACGUAUGUACUGACGCUCAUGGACGAAAGCGUGGGGAGCGAACAGGAUUAGAUACCCUGGUAGU
RNAcentral lists this ribosomal RNA (785 nucleotides) under uncultured marine bacterium. RNAcentral's name for it is "bacterial SSU rRNA". It matches the Rfam family "Bacterial small subunit ribosomal RNA", at positions 14 to 794 of the family's 1533-position model. The record is from RNAcentral.